RNAcentral lists this ribosomal RNA (436 nucleotides) under Macaca fascicularis (crab-eating macaque). RNAcentral's name for it is "partial 12S ribosomal RNA". It matches the Rfam family "Bacterial small subunit ribosomal RNA", at positions 508 to 1191 of the family's 1533-position model. The record is from RNAcentral. Lineage: Eukaryota; Metazoa; Chordata; Mammalia; Primates; Cercopithecidae.
CCAGCCACCGCGGUUACACGAUUAACCCCAGCUAAUAGGGAUCGGCGUAGAGGGUGUUUAAGAUCUAACAUAAUAAAGCUAAACUCCACCUAAACUGUAAAACCCUAGCUAAUGUAAAAUAAACUACGAAAGUGGCUUUAAAGCUUCUGAACACACAAUAGCCAAGACCCAAACUGGGAUUAGACACCCCACUAUGCUUGGCCCUAAACCUCAGUAGUUAGAUAACAAAACUACUCGCCAGAAUACUACAAGCAACAGCUUAAAACUCAAAGGACUUGACGGUGCUUUACAUCCCCCUAGAGGAGCCUGUUCCGUAAUCGAUAAACCCCGAUCCACCCUACCCUCUCUUGCUCAGCCUAUAUACCGCCAUCUUCAGCAAACCCUAAUGAGGGCCACAAAGUGAGCGCAAACGCCGUCGCCGCGAAUACGUUAGGUC